This 1343-nucleotide long non-coding RNA is filed under the name Olea europaea subsp. europaea. The record is from RNAcentral. Lineage: Eukaryota; Viridiplantae; Streptophyta; Magnoliopsida; Lamiales; Oleaceae.
CUCUUCAUUGACCAUAUAUCGAAAUGCAGGCAUUUUCCAUAAGAACACUAUUUUCAAUGGCACAAAUUUCUUUUUCUGAGUUAAUAGCUAAAGUAUAGUUUAACAAUUCUUGACCAGCGCUCGGAGGUUGAAAAUUGGCAUUUGGGCUUGGACUAAUCGAUAGUCUUGAAGAACCAAAAGCUUCAUGCUUAACAAAUUUGUAGUCCUUUGCAGUUGUUGCUAGAGCAUUUAAAUGCAAACCAAUGCCAGGAAAAACACAAAUCCAUACAAAAGACGAACAAAAUUAGUUUAAAGUCCAUAUUGUUUGAAGUCGUCAUACUUUAAUCACCGUUAUUUCACAAAAAUAGCCAAUUAAAGUGGAAUGGUCUUCAACAUAAUAAAAUCAAGAUAGGCUACAAGAUAUGAGAAACUAUUAAGAGGAACUCACAAACAACACAUUGAAAAAUCUGUCAAGCUUAACUGCAAAUGUGGAAAUAAAAAGGUUCAGGGUAAAGGAGGAGAAUCAGUGCAUACCUGCUCAUUAGCCAAUGGUAAAAGGCCACCAACAUAUACUUGACGUGCAUGCCUUGUAUCCUAUGGAUGAAGUAAAGAUUAGAAGAAAAGUUAAAAUUACAUAAGCAAGUAAAGGAGAAGCAUUACUUUUUUCCCUGCUGACUCAUGGCUUGGAUUGGCAACAAUGGAUGGUAGCCCAACUGGUUAACCUAUUAGCAUGCAUUGUAUUUCUUGAGAAAAAUGAUGGUAACCUUCUAAAAUUUAUAAAGAUAGCACAAAAUAAAAGAGAAAAAAAUUGGUAAAUUGUUAAAAUGACAGAAGGUAUAAAGUGUAACGUUAGGAGACGAGAUAUGAAAAUGUACUCACUUGACAAAAUCAUUUCUAAGGGCUUGCAUAAGAAUAGUAGCCAGGAAACCAGUUAGAAACACUGUCACACUGGAGUUGAUUAUUGGGAACCAAUGGAUUUCCAAGUGAUGGCGUAGUGAAGAAGAUUGAGUACUUCAUUCUCUUCUCGAAAGGAGUUUACUUUCCUUCCAUUUUACCAAGUACAUGAAAACUCUACUUCAACUUCCUUAUCCUCAAUAAUUGUAAAUCAGUUUAUACAAUCUGCUGCUUGGUUAAAGACAAAAUACUAAGUAACUGAAUCAAGAUGUGACAGAUAUGAAGAUAAGGUCAUAAUUUGCCUUCCAAGGCCCCGCACGAACUGGCUUCAAAUUUCUUGACCCCGGACACUGCUGAAUUGUUUCCAAACAUUAAAAAGAAAUCCAUUAGUGAAAUUUAAACCAUGCAAUUUUAUGAAAAUAGAUUCUGGAAAUAAUAAAAACUUGCUUUUCCAGAUGAGGAACUUUUUC